GUGGGUCUGUGUCUGUUUCAUAGAUAAGUUCAUUUGCGUCAUAUUUUGUCAUAUAUUAGAUUUGAGAAUUUUUCUAUUUAACCAAAGGGGGCAUGAAUUUAAGCAGGUUAAAAUGCAUGGGAUCAGGAAGUGAGCACUAUGGACACUACUAGGAGACAUUAUCUGUAUUACCAAGGGCUUUUCAUGAAAUAGAACCAACACACACACAUGUAUGGAGACAGAGAGAGAGAUGGAGAGAGAGGUUUGAUUUAUCAGGAGGAAUGUAAUUAUGGAGGCUUAGAAAUCCUAAGAUCUGUUGUAUGCAAGCUGGAGACACGGGUAAGUCAGUGGUAUAAUUCAGAGUCCAAAGACCUGAGAACCAGGGAAGCCAAUGAUCUAAGUCUCAGUCCAAGGGUGGGAGAAGAUUGGUGCCCCAGCUCAGACAGGCAGAGAGCAAAUUCUCCCUUCCUCCACUUUUUUCUUUUGUUUGGGCCCUCAGCAGAUUGGACAAUUCCCACCCACCCCAAGGAGGGCCAUCUGCUUUACUCAGUCUAACUCAAAUGCUAACUUCUUCUGGAAACACCCUCACAGACUCCUCCCAAGGUGAUUUUUAGUCAAAUAGCUGGGCACGUGUGAUCCCAUCAAGUUGACACAUAAACUUAAGCAUCACAUUAUCCAAUACCCUGAAAGUUACAGGAAUGCUAACAACCACAUACAAAGAGGAGUCAACUGCCCUCUUUGUCAGCUUCAACUCAUCUAGCAAAAGGGGCCAGUGUGUUCUCAGGGAUCCUACCUCAAGUCAAGUUGCAAGGUGUCACAAGCAGUUUGGUGACAGUGUCAUCUCUUUCUAAAGUGCAAGCAAGAUCCACAGGGGUAGGGAGAAAGGGAGACACAUGCUGUAAACCAAGGCCAGGGUGACGUGCCUUGUCUGGCUAUGUUUUCCUUCAGGGUCACUUGGCCUAGAGUGCAGUCAAGUUCAGGUGAUUUGAGGAAAAGCUCCUCCAUUCCACAUGACUGCUAAUUGCCCAAGAAGCAAAGCACAACGGAAAUAGCAGGCAGAUAUGACUCCAAAUGUUGGUGAUGACUGUAUUUAACCUUUCCUAAAGGAACAUUAAAAAGGCUUUAAUGCUUUGGUAGGGGGAAUCCCGAUGUGUGAAAAAAGAAACAGACAUUUGCUGACAAGAGUCUCUUUCCACCUGAAGGAACCGUGCCAGAAUCAAUUUCUAAUAGGAGUGAAGGCUAAUGAGAGUGCAUUGUCAAUUGCAGGCACAUUCUGCCUUCUCUUCUACAUCUCUAAAGGCUCCUCUGGACAGACCGUAAAUUACCCUGACCUUAAAGAAAAUGUUCACACUAAGGCUUUGGUUUUUAUGAACAUUCCACCUGGACGGUCUGACCCAGCUUUAGAUAUAAUAAGAAAGAAGCCAAGAACCAGCUGAGCCACACAGAGCCAAGGCUCAGGCCUGGCUCGAUGAUGAUUCAGGCCUUGCCACCCAUAUAUCUAAGAAAAGAGCAUUAUUUCCAUAAAUGAUAACCAAACCCAGGGCUGAUUUGGAAUAGCUACUUGCUAUCCCAAAUUGGCUUUGGCUGUCAUUAAAAUUACAGUGACAUUUAGGGAUUUCUUACAGGUUGCAGAAAGCUAUGGUUGAGAGCAUCAUAUCAUCUUUUGUUUGUGGCCAGGAUACUGGCUAUUGUACUAGGCAGCAUUCUUGACUGAAAAUGUAGACACCAACUCUAGGUCUGUACCAGAUGCAUUUUAGGAUCCCACCAAGUAUCCGUGUGUGUGGCACAGCGCCAUGAGCACUAUAGGCAUCACGGUCCCGCAUCCUGUCUGUUGGCAAUGCUGCACUUCAUCCCCCUGGGCAUGCCCUCUAUGCUCCUGACUCUACUGAGUUAUCACCAGCUGACUAGUCUCUCAAGAUUCAGCUUGGACAGCAGCACCUUACAGUUUGUACUGAGGCCACAUGGCCAUGUUCAAGCUCAAGCUGCCAGGGGAUGGGGAAGUUCUCCACACAGAAAGGGGAUCCAGUGCAGCCAAGCAAUCAUGCUCACUGAAGGUAAAUUAGUAAAAAAUAAAAAAAGCUACUCUCAUGCAAUAUCCAACUAUAUACAUAUAUGCGUAUAUAUAUAUUAUGUAUGUGUACAUAUAUUAUGUAUAUAUAUUCACACCACAUAUUAGUGUGUAUUUUUUCCUGGAGAUCAAUCAAUAAUAUCUAUAGACAGUAGGUUUGGGUAUCCUUGCGAAGACCUAAAGCAGCCUUUACAUGGGAUUUGCCCUGGUUCCUCUUUGAGACUGCCAGGCCCCAGUGAUUUGCACCAGUUUCCUGCCCUACACACCUCAGUCCCAUCCUCCAGCUUACUUCUUCUUGGCCCUUUUAUUAAACAUUUGCUUCUGAGCUACAAUAUAGAGAUACAACAUAGAAAGAGGAGAAGGGAACUAACAUUUGCUGAGUGCUUUUUUUAUCAUCAAGUAUUCUGGGUCCUCGUUAGGUCAACUUUACCCUUGUAACAGGUGGAGCUGUUCCUUACAACACCCAUGUGGCUUUGAGACCCAGCUCUUUCACAUAUUGUGAUCUUGAGCAAGUUAUUUAACCUCUGUCACCACCAGAUUUCUCAUUUGUAAAUGGAAGUACUUUCAGGACUGUUGGAUGAAGUGCCUCACUCUGUGACAUGUGGCCAAUGGUUGUUACUACUCAUUAGCUGCAAUCUGGCCCAUUUUUAAGUGUUACCUCCUCCAAGAAGCCUUCUUCAGUCUCCCAAGGCAGACGGAAUCCCACCUUCCUCCUUUUAACUUUGUCUUUCACCUCCUUCGUGGAGCUCAGCACAGGCAGUGAAGGCUAUUAGAGAGCAGGAAUCUUCACCGUAUCCCCAGCAGACCUAACAAUGCCUUGCACACAGUAGGUCUUCUAUAAAGUGCCAUCGAAUUGAAAUGUCAAACUAAAUUCUCCAUGGCCAAUGAUUGUGAAGCAAACUAAAUGUGCUGCUUAGUUGUCUAAAUUGCACUUUCUCAACAAAAAAGGAGAGGUUUUGCACUUAAGACAGAUUCACACAAGCAAAGUUUGGAUUCUGCAUUUAGCGUAUUAUACAAAAUCAUGAUGAAAUAACUCUUAAACACCUCCUUAGGAAAGAACCAUGCUGGAAACAGACAUGAGGACUUGCCAUAAAUCUAACACAGCCAUUUUCCACUUUGAUUCCUGAUUGCUGGGUUAAGUAUCCACAGAUGGAUUGCAUUUAAGGACAGGUGAUAGGAAAAUCAUCUGUUUUCAAACCCCAGCAUCUCAUCCAGUGAGAGAAUAGGAUCUCAUCACAGGAGGUAAAAAGGAGCUGAGGUGUUUGAAAGGAACAGCAGAUUUACUUCUAUGUUGUGUUCAUUCCAAGAGGAGAGAGGUAAUGAAGUUGAGACCCAGAGAAUCACUCUACAAGACAACCCUGAGUCAAAGAAGCCUCCAGAACCUGUUGGUCAUGACUUAUCACUGGUGGUCUUAGCACCAUAUAUGUGAAGAGCUGGAUAUAGAAUGUCCAAUGUAUGGACCGCUAUGGAGGUCACUAAAUGACAAGCUCCCAAAACUCUACUGCCAUAUUUACAAUUGUCCAGCGAUUCCCCCUCCAUUUCAUUCAAAGCUCAUUUUAAACUCUGCCUCCUCUAAAUAUGUUUAUUAAAGAGAUAUGCAGUUAAUGCAAUUUUUUUCUUCUUUUUUGGCCAUUCUGCUGUAUAUGGAGUUCCAGGGCCCGGGAUCAGAUCUACACCACAGUGCUGUGGCAAUGCCAGAUCCUUCAAUCCACCAUGCUGGGCCAGGGAUCAAACCUGUGUCCUGGUGCUAGAGAUGCCACGAUCCCAUUGUGCUGCAGUGGGAAAUCCUCAGUGCAAAUUUUAAGAAGGUAAAAUUGUACUCAUGUCAAAAACAUGAGUGACAAUCUGGAUAUCUACACUUUCAGGUAAACAAAAGUGAAUACUCCUUCUAGGUUGAAUCCCACAGCAAACUCCUGUGGAGCAAAGUUAACAAAUUUUAAAUUCCUAGAAGUUAAUCAUAUGAAGUGCAUAGCACAUUGUAGUCGAUCAAAGCUGUUGCAGUCAGUCAAAGGUUUGCCUCUAAGCGUCAGGCAACCAUAAGCUUCAUUCUUCUUGGUAGACAAGUCAGUGGUUCUCCAACUCAGUUUAGUCUCGCCAUGGUCAGUAUGUGAUUAUGUGGUCAAAACUCUCACUUUCAUUCACUUCAUGCAGAAAUCCAGCUGAGAACCUUAACAUUUCCUUUAAUAGGGAAAGUAGCUGACAUGCAAUGAUGAAUCAGUAAUAGAGCAUGAAGAUUACCCUACUUAACAUUCUUCAAUGGUUCCCUAGAGCCUUCAGGAUAAAGUCCAGACUUCUUAAACUGGCAAUCAUGGGCUUUCACGGGCUGAGCUUCAUCUAUCUUUCCAGCCCCAUUUCUCAGUCCUCCCCCUUUUUAGUCUCUGGCCCAAACAUGUUAAACUACUUUCAGUUCUCUGGGAAAAUCGAACUCUCAAUUCCCUCCACUUAAAAUGCCCUGCAUGUACCCUCCUGACUAGCUCCCACUCAUACUGCCAGGGCCCAUGCAGUGGCACACAUCCAUUCAGAAUGUUAUCAUGAGCUAAUUCAUGUCAACUACACCCCAGAUACAGGGACAAUCAAUCCACUUUCAGUGGGACAUCAACAUUUGCCUUUUCACCACUAAACUUUUGGUAAGUGUCUUUGUCAUCCAAUCAUUUCUUAAUCCCUGCAAACCUGCUUCCCCUAGCAUUACUCAACUGAAAAAAAGAAAAAAUUCAAGGUUACUAUUGUCCUCAUAAUCAUUUCAUUCGUUGGCAAUGGUUUUUUUUUCUCCCCCCAAAUACUAUGUUUUCUUAAGUUCUCUAAAGCCAUCUAGACUGCUAGUCACUCUAUGUUCACCAUCUCUUUCCUUUUGUGGCAUACAGUUUCCCUAGUUGUCUCAUUCUAAUUGUUCCUUUUCUGUGUCAUUUACUGGCUUCAAUUCUUCCUUUAAUUAAAGAUAUUUCUCUAAGUUCACUAGAUUCAAAACAUUAGCAUUAGGGAGCCUCCAAAUCACUUAACUCAUAAAACAAACUCAAAUUAUUUGUAUGUCCUAUUGAUUCUAGCUUCUUAGUGAAAAAGGAAGAACCCAGGGUCCAAUAAAAAGAGCAUUCAUUCUAGAGAUAAGCUUGGGUUCAGAUCUCAAGUAUGUCAUCAACUCUUGAGCACUGUGGCAUGGAAUAUAGCACUUAACCCAUUUGGGCAUCAGUUUCUCAUCUGUAAGUUGAA
Molecule: non-coding RNA, 5251 nt
Organism: Sus scrofa (pig)
Lineage: Eukaryota; Metazoa; Chordata; Mammalia; Artiodactyla; Suidae
Source: RefSeq, a predicted model, not a curated record